Molecule: long non-coding RNA, 2308 nt
Organism: Salvelinus namaycush (lake trout)
Lineage: Eukaryota; Metazoa; Chordata; Actinopteri; Salmoniformes; Salmonidae
Exons: 3
Source: RefSeq, a predicted model, not a curated record
UCAACUCUUUUUUUUCAGCUUACUUUUUUUCUUCAGCAUGUCAUGUCUGUUUUUGUUCUGUCUCACAUGACUUUUGACAUUCUUCUUUGUAUUACACUUUAAAAAAAGUCUUGAUAAUUACAAAAUAUUUAAUGCACCUGUUUAAAAAGAGUCAAAUACAUGGAAACUAUAUACAUACUAGAUGUGCAUAAGCCAUUUGAUACUUUCUUUACACAAAAUACAGUCGUCUCUUAGUAUUGUGUCAUUAACACCACAACAAGCAAAUUACAUGACAAUAACCUUUUUUUCAAAAGUUUGUACUUGGUUACCAUGGAUAUGAAUAGUGACAGUGGAGCACAUGGAUGUCAUGGAGUCUAUUUGGUCAUUACCAAAUAGGCUAUAAUUUCAUCAAAUUAUGUUAUUUUUUGAAAUUAUGUUUUAAUUAUGUGUAUUUCGGGUACAUUGUAUGCUAGCUGUUCAACUGGAGUUAGCAUGCUAGAAUCCCUGCUAUUUAUGACCAAAUAUCGUAAAAUUGUCACCACAUAAUGAACUGUGAUGGUAAAGGCGGAAUGUGGUGGUAAAGACAGAAUGUAUUAGUUCAUACAUUUUUAUUUGCCGUAAGACCUGAAAAGACAAACAAAUGACAUAUAUGAUCAUGGUUCAGUUGAAAUUGAACACUAAAUAAGACCAUUACAUGUUGUAUUAUGUUAGGAUGGUUGAGUGAUUUUGAUGUCUAUUCAUGUGACUUACUAUGGUUAUUACUGGGUUAGGGUUAAAUAUCAACAUUUAGACAUGACAACUCACUACCGAGUUACUGGGUUAUUACAGGCUGACUAAACCGCUCGCGUGCGCGCACCCCGCUAAUGUGGGAGUUAAUGUAAUGUAUGCUGAGAAAACAUAGGAACAAUAAUUACAUUAACAGGAAGUAGAGAUGAUGUCAUCUAGUGUAUUUGUUGCUUCUGUGCAAUACAACAUGCCAAUGAUUACAUUAAGUUAAUGUACAUGACUACAUUAGCUGAGGUCAUAAUUACAUUUGUUACAUCUGGACAUACUAAUGACAGGAGUAAGCGGAGAGAGGAUGGUAGCAAAAAUGACCAACAUAUGAAACAUGGAGUAUACAAACAUUAGCUAUAUUUGGAUCAAAACAGACGGACAAUUUUGGGCGAAAUAAAGUCCAUGAUGGAUGGACCUGAUAUAGCUGAAAAUUCACCGUCCGUGGACGUCGCCACUGAUGCCAUGGCAAAGCCACGGUGAAAUUCCCCUUUAACCUGUAGUUGUUGCCUUUUUUCAAUGCAGGAUUCUACAUGCAGGAGUUAGUCCGUAGCGUGGUGUCUGGUUUGGGGUAGGGAAAUAUGGCGAAGCGAAAGUGCUGUUCGAGUCUGAUGGCUCCAAGUUGAGUGAAGUUGGUAAGAAUUGAAUGGAAGACGGAGACAACGAAAAAUGGAGCAAACAGACCAAAAGUUGUAAAUGAACAUCGGUUUCUUAUGGAGCGCGAUUCAUCAACAAUUAUGUAUUGUUAGGAGAUCAUCUGAGGUCAGGAAGAUGGUAAAGGAGGCAUUAGGAAAGGUAGAGUCAGUCAGAGUGACCAGUAGUGGUUUUGGUUUGAUGCGUCUCAGAAGAGCUGAAGGAGAGAGCAUUGUUUUUCGGAGCAGGGCACCGAUAAAAUGUGUUAUAUCUGGAGUUUCGUUGGAAGAGUGAAGAGUGUCUGCCUACUCAUGUGAUGCUGCGAUAUGUAAGAUACGCAGUGAGAGCGAUUGUGAAUAAACCACUGCAGUUAUGAAAUUGAUAAAAGAAUGGCCAUGUUUCAAAGUGUGUGCCCACUGAAUAUUUUUGGUAUUUAUUAGGAUCCCCAUUAACCACUGCAAAAGUAUCAGAAUUGUUCACUUCUCUCAUUGACUUCUCAAACCCCGGCUUGGUCCGCUUCACAAGUUCUCUGAAGUCUCGCGUUGUUUGCGUCUCUGGGUUUAGAAACUGGUAGUGGGGGAACAGGAAGUUCCGCGCGGGCGCACAUCAUUCUUCACAAUAAAGGAUACGCCAGAAUUGUGCAGUCGAGAUGACAACUUCUGUGUCCGUUUCAAAUGUAUUACUACUGGCUCCGGUAUUUCCACGACACUCUCCUUCCACACUGAGUCAAAACCUACAGUCACUGGGUCCUGAUUGUGACAGUGGAGCCCAUUUUGAACUGCAGGAUCAAGAGAUAGCAUCAGUGAAGCUGGAGGACUGCAGUCAAACACUGGAACUGAAUGCCAAAAUUAAAACAGAAAAUCUGUUUCUCAUGGACUAGAAUUAAGUCUGAGGCCGGUAACAUCAACAGUAACGACAAACCCAG